UUUAAAGCAAUCUAAAUUAAAACCUUCCAUCAAAACUCCAUGUUAAUUUGUGUUCCAGACACCAGCUGAACCUGAUGGCAAAAUGUAUUUUAUGUAACA
This is a long non-coding RNA of Octopus sinensis (East Asian common octopus), 99 nucleotides long. RefSeq lists it as uncharacterized. NCBI's taxonomy places the organism in Eukaryota, Metazoa, Mollusca, Cephalopoda, Octopoda, Octopodidae. The record is from RefSeq and is a predicted model, not a curated record. The transcript is spliced from 3 exons.